RNAcentral lists this ribosomal RNA (495 nucleotides) under uncultured bacterium. Its description in RNAcentral is "partial 16S ribosomal RNA". It matches the Rfam family "Bacterial small subunit ribosomal RNA", at positions 28 to 507 of the family's 1533-position model. The record is from RNAcentral.
GACGAACGCUGGCGGCGUGCCUAAUACAUGCAAGUAGAACGCUGAAGGAGGAGCUUGCUCUUCUGGAUGAGUUGCGAACGGGUGAGUAACGCGUAGGUAACCUGCCUGGUAGCGGGGGAUAACUAUUGGAAACGAUAGCUAAUACCGCAUAAGAGUAGAUGUUGCAUGACAUUUACUUAAAAGGUGCAAUUGCAUCACUACGAGAUGGACCUGCGUUGUAUUAGCUAGUUGGUGGGGUAACGGCUUACCAAGGCGACGAUACAUAGCCGACCUGAGAGGGGGGUCGGCCGCCCUGAGACUGGGACACGGCCCAGACUCCUACGGGAGGCAGCAGGAGGGAAACUGCGGCAAUGGGCGGAAGACUGACCGAGCAGCGCCGCGUGAGUGAAGAAGGUUGUCGGAUCGUAAAGCUCUGUUGUAAGGGAAGAACGAGUGUGAGAGUGGAAAGUUCACACUGUGACGGUAUCUGACCAGAAAGCGACGGCUAACUACGUG